GAUGAACGCUGGCGGCGUGCCUAAUACAUGCAAGUCGAGCGAACGGACGAGAAGCUUGCUUCUCUGAUGUUAGCGGCGGACGGGUGAGUAACACGUGGAUAACCUACCUAUAAGACUGGGAUAACUUCGGGAAACCGUAGCUAAUACCGGAUAAUAUUUUGAACCGCAUGGUUCAAAAGUGAAAGACGGUCUUGCUGUCACUUAUAGAUGGAUCCGCGCUACAUUAGCUAGUUGGUAAGGUAACGGCUUACCAAGGCAACGAUGCAUAGCCGACCUGAGAGGGUGAUCGGCCACACUGGAACUGAGACACGGUCCAGACUCCUACGGGAGGCAGCAGUAGGGAAUCUUCCGCAAUGGGCGAAAGCCUGACGGAGCAACGCCGCGUGAGUGAUGAAGGUCUGCGGAUCGUAAAACUCUGUUAUUAGGGAAGAACAUAUGUGUAAGUAACUGUGCACAUCUUGACGGUACCUAAUCAGAAAGCCACGGCUAACUACGUG
Molecule: ribosomal RNA, 497 nt
Filed under: uncultured bacterium
Lineage: Bacteria
Description: partial 16S ribosomal RNA
Rfam family: Bacterial small subunit ribosomal RNA
Source: RNAcentral